UUUAGAUUUGCUGGAAUCAGUUGCCUUAAUAUUACAAUACUUCUCAGAGCUGAGGGAGUUAACAGUUUACUUUGAGGACAGCACUCUCCCUUUUUUAUUUAUUUUUCUUUUAAAUGACAAGGAAUAUUCUGAGAGCCAUAGAGAAGAUGUUUACCUGGUCUUAACUGCUGAAAUUUAGGAUACCUGCAGACCUCGGGGUAGUCAGUGGCAUUGCAGGGCCCCAGGGGGAGCAUGAUUUGGGUCUCAGGCUUGAGGUGAGGCACAGCUGAUUUUAAUCCUAGCAGCACAAAAUGUGGGGGCAAACAACCCCAGUGCUUUAAGGGCUUUUGCAUGAGAAGGCAGAGCAUCGACAGGACAGUCUAGCUGGCCACGAUGGGGUUGAUAUGCUCUCCACACCAAGCACCUUUGUGCUGGUCGGGAGUACCCACUGCCUCAGUGCUCUGCAGGUGGCUGGAUGUGACCGCGGGGAGGAAGGGGACGGCUGCUGUGACCAGGGGACUGCUGGCAGGGGGGCGGCCCUGUGCUGCUCAUCAGCUGUCCCCAGCUAGGAGGACCAGGAUCCGCCGUGGGAACCUCGUCCCCUUUGCCAGGACGGGAUGCUGGGGACAGGGGUGUCCCCUUUUGGGUGAUUCCUCCUGUGCUGUGUGCCCUAAGCUGCGGCUGUGUGCGCUGCUCGGUGCUCGCUAACUUUCUCUCAACAAGCACCUGGCUUCGGUGGUGAGGACAGCAAUUGCUGUGCAAACCCGUGAAGCAUCUGGAGGGGCUGUUUGGCUCGGAGCUUCUCCUGGCGCUGCAAAAAGUGGGGCAGCCUUCCUCUGCCUGUUAGAUUUUUUACAGUGAAUGGAUUUUGAAGACAAAAG
This 860-nucleotide long non-coding RNA is filed under the name Anser brachyrhynchus (Pink-footed goose). RNAcentral describes it as "lncRNA (ENSABRG00000008648.1)". Lineage: Eukaryota; Metazoa; Chordata; Aves; Anseriformes; Anatidae. The record is from RNAcentral.